GCUGGGGAUAACAUUUGGAAACAGAUGCUAAUACCGAAUAAAACUUAGUGUCGCAUGACACAAAGUUAAAAGGCGCUUCGGCGUCACCUAGAGAUGGAUCCGCGGUGCAUUAUGUUAGUUGGUGGGGUUAAAGCGCCUACCAAGACAAUGAUGCAUAGCCGAGUUGAGAGACUGAUCGGCCACAUUGGGAACUGAGACACGGCCCAAACUCCUACGGGAAGGCUGCAGUAGGGAAAUCUUCCACUAAUGGGCGAAAGCCUGAUGGAGCAACGCCGCGUGUGUGAUGAAGGCUUUCGGGUCGUAAAGCACUGUUGUAUGGGAAGAACAGCUAGAAUAGGAAAUGAUUUUAGUUUGACGGUACCCAUACCAGAAAAGGGACGGCUAAAUACGUGCCAGCAGCCCGCGGUAAUACGUAUGUCCCGAGCGUUAUCCGGAUUUAUUGGGCGUAAAGCGAGCGCAGACGGUUUAUUAAGUCUGAUGUGAAAGCCCGGAGCUCAACUCCGGAAUGGCAUUGGAAACUGGUUAACUUGAGUGCAGUAGAGGUAAGUGGAACUCCAUGUGUAGCGGUGGAAUGCGUAGAUAUAUGGAAGAACACCAGUGGCGAAGGCGGCUUACUGGACUGCAACUGACGUUGAGGCUCGAAAGUGUGGGUAGCAAACAGGAUUAGAUACCCUGGUAGUCCACACCGUAAACGAUGAACACUAGGUGUUAGGAGGUUUCCGCCUCUUAGUGCCGAAGCUAACGCAUUAAGUGUUCCGCCUGGGGAGUACGACCGCAAGGUUGAAACUCAAAGGAAUUGACGGGGACCCGCACAAGCGGUGGAGCAUGUGGUUUAAUUCGAAGCAACGCGAAGAACCUUACCAGGUCUUGACAUCCUUUGAAGCUUUUAGAGAUAGAAGUGUUUUCUUCGGAGACAAAGUGACAGGUGGUGCAUGGUCGUCGUCAGCUCGUGUCGUGAAAUGUUGGGUUAAGUCCUCGCAACGAGCGCAACCCCUUAUUGUUAGUUGCCAGCAUUCAGAUGGGCACCUUCUAGCGAGACUGCCGGUGAACAAACCGGAGGAAGGCGGGGACGACGUCAGAAUCAUCAUGCCCCUUAUGACCUGGGCUUACACACCGUGCUUACAAUGGCGUAUACAAGCGAGUUGCACAACCCGUGCAAAGAGGGUGAGCUAAUCUCUUAAAGUACGUCUCAGUUCGGAUUGUAGUCUGCAACUCGACUACAUGAAGUCGGAAUCGCUAGUAAUCGCGGAUCAGCACGCCGCGGUGAAUACGUUCCCGGGUCUUG
RNAcentral lists this ribosomal RNA (1285 nucleotides) under Leuconostoc mesenteroides. RNAcentral's name for it is "bacterial SSU rRNA". It matches the Rfam family "Bacterial small subunit ribosomal RNA", at positions 136 to 1383 of the family's 1533-position model. Lineage: Bacteria; Bacillati; Bacillota; Bacilli; Lactobacillales; Lactobacillaceae. The record is from RNAcentral.